UGGGGAAUAUUGCACAAUGGGCGCAAGCCUGAUGCAGCCAUGCCGCGUGUGUGAAGAAGGCCUUCGGGUUGUAAAGCACUUUCAGCGGGGAGGAAGGCGUUAAGGUUAAUAACCUUGGCGAUUGACGUUACCCGCAGAAGAAGCACCGGCUAACUCCGUGCCAGCAGCCGCGGUAAUACGGAGGGUGCAAGCGUUAAUCGGAAUUACUGGGCGUAAAGCGCACGCAGGCGGUCUGUCAAGUCGGAUGUGAAAUCCCCGGGCUCAACCUGGGAACUGCAUCUGAUACUGGCAAGCUUGAGUCUCGUAGAGGGGGGUAGAAUUCCAGGUGUAGCGGUGAAAUGCGUAGAGAUCUGGAGGAAUACCGGUGGCGAAGGCGGCCCCCUGGACAAAGACUGACGCUCAGGUGCGAAAGCGUGGGGAGCAAACAGG
RNAcentral lists this ribosomal RNA (429 nucleotides) under Chloroflexota bacterium. RNAcentral's name for it is "Chloroflexi bacterium partial 16S ribosomal RNA". It matches the Rfam family "Bacterial small subunit ribosomal RNA", at positions 355 to 776 of the family's 1533-position model. Lineage: Bacteria; Bacillati; Chloroflexota. The record is from RNAcentral.